GAUGAACGCUGGCGGCGUGCCUAAUACAUGCAAGUCGAGCGAACAGACGAGGAUCUUGCUCCUCUGACGUUAGCGGCGGACGGGUGAGUAACACGUGGAUAAACUAUCUAUAAGACUGGGAGAACUUCGGGAAACCGGAGCUAAUACCGGAUAAUAUAUUGAUCCGUAUGGUUCAAUAGUGAAAGACGGUUUUGCUGUCACUGAUAGAUGGAUCCGCGCCGCAUUAGCUAGUUGGUAAGGUGACGGCUUACCAAGGCGACGAUGCGCAGACGACCUGAGAGGGUGAUAGGCCAAACUGGAACUGAGACAAGGUCCAGACUCCUACGGGAGGCAGCAGUAGGGAAUCUUACGCAAUGGGAUAGAGCCUGACGGGACAACGCCGCGUGAGUUAUGAAGGUCUUCGGCUCUUAAAACUCUGUUAUUAGGGAAGAACAAAUGUGUAAGUAACUAUGCACGUCUUGACGGUACCUAAUCAGAAAGCCACGGCUAACUACGUG
This 497-nucleotide ribosomal RNA is filed under the name uncultured bacterium. Its description in RNAcentral is "partial 16S ribosomal RNA". It matches the Rfam family "Bacterial small subunit ribosomal RNA", at positions 28 to 507 of the family's 1533-position model. The record is from RNAcentral.